GCCAGCAUGGUGUAGUGGUUUGAGUGCUGGACUACAACUCUGGAGAGCAGGGUUUAAAUCCCUGCUUGGCC
Molecule: transfer RNA, 71 nt
Filed under: Phrynosoma platyrhinos (Desert horned lizard)
Lineage: Eukaryota; Metazoa; Chordata; Lepidosauria; Squamata; Phrynosomatidae
Description: tRNA-OTHER
Source: RNAcentral